UACCAGCACCUCGAGUGGUCAGGAGGUUUAUUGGGCCUAAAGCAUCCGUAGCCGGCUAUGCAAGUCUUCGGUUAAAUCCAACUGCUCAACAGAUGGGCUGCCGAAGAUACUACACAGCUAGGGAGCGGGAGAGGCAGACGGUAUUCGGUGGGUAGGGGUAAAAUCCUCUGAUCCAUUGAGGACCACCAGUGGCGAAGGCGGUCUGCCAGAACGCGUUCGACGGUGAGGGAUGAAAGCUGGGGGAGCAAACCGGAUUAGAAA
This 261-nucleotide ribosomal RNA is filed under the name uncultured bacterium. Its description in RNAcentral is "partial 16S ribosomal RNA". It matches the Rfam family "Archaeal small subunit ribosomal RNA", at positions 474 to 735 of the family's 1478-position model. The record is from RNAcentral.